CUACAUGUGAAGUGCGGCUGAAGAAACUGCAUUUCAACUUCGAAACGCAACCCUGGUGCAACUCGAAUUGUGAAAGUGAUGUUUAACAAUGCCGUUGCCUGGAAUAAAUUAGUAAAGGAACCAUUGCGCUAUCACCGAACAACAGGAUUGGAUUGGUAAACACAAUUUCCUGCAUUUAGUUGAGCACCAUUCUCGUGAUUUGGUCCGAGCCCCUGUCUGUCAGGCCCGGUGGACCCCUUCCCCUUGGAAGUGUCUUUCAGCCCAGUGUCAGUCAGAAUGGGACAAUAGCCGCAGUCGCCAUCGGACCUCCCCCUUUCUCUCUUUGCUCUCUGUCUGCCCCGUCCCCACACCCCUUAACACUCGCACAUAUAUAUAUAUAUAUAUACACACACACAUACAUACACAUACAUACACACAGACCCAGCCAGACCCUGACCACUCCCACUGUACUGGUUUUGGUCCACUCCCUCUUCCUACCGCUCUAGGCAGCCAGCCUUGUGAAGCCAAAUGAAACCAUAAUCCCCUGUAAAAGAUAGAGGCCUAUACAGCUGCCUAUCCUCCCUUUGUUGUUGGUGGCUUUUUGUUUAGAGGGCCCCCAUGAGAGUAGCGGCUAGAGAACACAAGGCAGC
This is a long non-coding RNA of Oncorhynchus tshawytscha (Chinook salmon), 629 nucleotides long. Lineage: Eukaryota; Metazoa; Chordata; Actinopteri; Salmoniformes; Salmonidae. The record is from Ensembl.